GUGCGGAUCCGAGAUCGCUUGUUCCCGCGCGCGCUCUAUCGAAGUUUCAGUUCCGCGCCAAAAUCUUUGCUUGGCUCGCGCCCAAUCCCGGAACCAAGGACGGCGACGACACCCCCGCGGGGGUCGGGGCAUACACACCGCGAAGAUCCGGGCAGGCCCGGUACGCGUCGGUCAAUCCGAUCACGGUUUCCGCCGCACCCAGGAAAAGGAAGCCAUCAGGUUCAUUGAUCUUCUGCAUCCGCCCGAACACGUCGAUCUUGGUGGGCUGAUCGAAGUAGAUCAGCACGUUCCGACAGAAGAUGAUGUCGAAGAUUCCGAAGUGGGAGAAAUCCUGCAACAGGUUGGCCUGCUGGUAGCGGACCAUGGCGCGGAUAUCGGGAUUAAGCUGCCAGACAUCGCCGACCUGCUUGAAAUGCUUCACCAGCAAC
This 428-nucleotide unclassified non-coding RNA is filed under the name Hevea brasiliensis (rubber tree). The record is from RNAcentral. Lineage: Eukaryota; Viridiplantae; Streptophyta; Magnoliopsida; Malpighiales; Euphorbiaceae.